CCUACGGGCGGCAGCAGUGGGGAAUAUUGGACAAUGGGGGCAACCCUGAUCCAGCCAUGCCGCGUGUGUGAAGAAGGCCCUCGGGUUGUAAAGCACUUUCAGUGAGGAAGAACGCCUGGUGGUUAAUACCCAUCAGGAAAGACAUCACUCACAGAAGAAGCACCGGCUAACUCCGUGCCAGCAGCCGCGGUAAUAAGGAGGGUGCGAGCGUUAAUCGGAAUUACUGGGCGUAAAGCGCGCGUAGGUGGCUUGAUAAGCCGGUUGUGAAAGCCCCGGGCUCAACCUGGGAACGGCAUCCGGAACUGUCAAGCUAGAGUGCAGGAGAGGAAGGUAGAAUUCCCGGUGUAGCGGUGAAAUGCGUAGAGAUCGGGAGGAAUACCAGUGGCGAAGGCGGCCUUCUGGACUGACACUGACACUGAGGUGCGAAAGCGUGGGUAGCAAACAGGAUUAGAUACCCGAGUAGUC
This 465-nucleotide ribosomal RNA is filed under the name Vreelandella stevensii. Its description in RNAcentral is "partial 16S ribosomal RNA". It matches the Rfam family "Bacterial small subunit ribosomal RNA", at positions 338 to 795 of the family's 1533-position model. Lineage: Bacteria; Pseudomonadati; Pseudomonadota; Gammaproteobacteria; Oceanospirillales; Halomonadaceae. The record is from RNAcentral.